GGGGGCGUCAGGCUUCGACAGGGCUGAUUCGAUCUAGAGUUGCGAGCCGAGGUGCCGUUGGCCUCGUAAACAAACGGCAAAAAAAUAGUUGCUAAUGACAACUUUGCAUACGCUGCUUAAUUAAAUGCAGCGCGCUGGGCAAAAGGGUUCCAUCCUCGUUUGAUUCCGGCGUCGCAAAUGAUGGAUCGCUAGUGAGCCUCUGUUCGUGGCAAAGCUAGCUAAAUAAACCGAACUGGAUGAUGCGGCAGCCUGCCCUCGGGAGAGCCGUGCAUCGAGAAAAAGUACGAGGGAGACGCUCGUGGUGAUUCUAAGUACGGCGGCUUUGGAACCGGGUUCAAUUCCCGGCGCCUCCACCA
RNAcentral lists this transfer-messenger RNA (356 nucleotides) under Geitlerinema splendidum. It matches the Rfam family "transfer-messenger RNA". From Rfam's summary of the family: Bacterial tmRNA, also known as 10Sa RNA or SsrA, is named for its dual tRNA and mRNA-like properties. Its role is to liberate the mRNA from a stalled ribosome. The record is from RNAcentral. Lineage: Bacteria; Bacillati; Cyanobacteriota; Cyanophyceae; Geitlerinematales; Geitlerinemataceae. RNAcentral also lists the same sequence under 1 other name.